ACUUUACAUGCGGGAAACCGUGAUAAGGGAAUCUCGAGUGCCAGCAUAUAAUGUUGGCUGUCCAGAUGCCUAAAAAGCAUUUGUUAGCAAGGGCCGGGCAAGACCGGUGCCAGCCGCCGCGGUAACACCGGCGGCCCGAGUGGUAACCGUUUUUAUUGGGUCUAAAGGGUCUGUAGCCGGCCAUGUAAGUCCCUUGGGAAAUCUGGCAGCUCAACUGUCAGGCUGCUAGGGGAUACUGCUUGGCUUGGGACCGGGAGAGGUGAGAGGUACCUUGAGGGUAGGGGUGAAAUCUUGUGAUCCUCGGGGGACCACCAGUGGCGAAGGCGUCUCACCAGAACGGAUCCGACGGUAAGGGACGAAAGCUAGGGGCACGAACCGGAUUAGAUACCCGGGUAGUCCUAGCCGUAAACGAUGCUCGCUAGGUGUCAGUCACGGUGCGACCGUGAUUGGUGCCGUAGGGAAGCCGUGAAGCGAGCCACCUGGGAAGUACGGCCGCAAGGCUGAAACUUAAAGGAAUUGGCGGGGGAGCACUACAACGGGUGGAGCCUGCGGUUUAAUUGGAUUCAACGCCGGGAAGGGC
Molecule: ribosomal RNA, 580 nt
Filed under: uncultured archaeon
Lineage: Archaea
Description: bacterial SSU rRNA
Rfam family: Archaeal small subunit ribosomal RNA
Source: RNAcentral